AGAAUCAACGCUGGCGGCGUGCCUAACACAUGCAAGUCGAACGAGAAAGGGUAGCAAUACCUGAGUAAAGUGGCGCACGGGUGAGUAACACGUGACUAACCUACCCUGGAGUGGGGGAUAACUGAGGGAAACCUUAGCUAAUACCGCAUAAUACCUACGGGUCAAAGGAGCAAUUCGCUUUGGGAGGGGGUCGCGGCCGAUUAGUUAGUUGGCGGGGUAAUGGCCCACAAGACAGUGAUCGGUAUCC
RNAcentral lists this ribosomal RNA (247 nucleotides) under uncultured bacterium. RNAcentral's name for it is "partial small subunit ribosomal RNA". It matches the Rfam family "Bacterial small subunit ribosomal RNA", at positions 26 to 288 of the family's 1533-position model. The record is from RNAcentral.